This 66-nucleotide transfer RNA is filed under the name Zabrus trinii. RNAcentral's name for it is "tRNA-Leu". Lineage: Eukaryota; Metazoa; Arthropoda; Insecta; Coleoptera; Carabidae. The record is from RNAcentral.
UCUAAUGUGGCANAUUAGUGCAAUGAAUUUAAGCUUCAUGUAUAAAGUUAUUUUCUUUUGUUANAA